RNAcentral lists this long non-coding RNA (625 nucleotides) under Heterocephalus glaber (naked mole-rat). RNAcentral's name for it is "lncRNA (ENSHGLG00100044649.1)". The record is from RNAcentral. Lineage: Eukaryota; Metazoa; Chordata; Mammalia; Rodentia; Bathyergidae.
CCAUCGUGCAGCCUGGCUGUGACCAAAGCCUGCUUAAGGCUGGCUACAGUGAGCUUGCCUGGGGAGUCUCGCAUCACCUGCACACUCUACCAUUCCCUGGAGGACAGGACCUUUGCUGGGUGGGCGCGGGCCUGAGCUGUGAGCAGGGAUGACUGGUCCUAAGUGCUGGCUGGCCCUCAGGUCAGGUCACUGCCGCCCAGCCCCUGGCUUCCCAAGCAGGUCUCGUCAGCCUCAGUGUCCGCCUUUUCUUUCCAGGGGAGCAAUGACGCAGCUGUCGGCCAAUGACGAGGAUCUGGAGGAGAGGUCGGAGAGUGAGGGGAGCGACUACUCCCCAACAAGAAGAAGAAGAAGAAGCUCAAGGACAAGAAGGAGAAAAAAGCCAAGCGGAGAAAGAAGGACGAAGAUGAGGAGGACAAUGAAGACGGGUGCUUAAAGGAGCCCAAGUCCUCGGGGCAGCUCAUGGCUGAGUGGGGCCUGGACGACGUGGACUACCUGUUCUCAGAGGAGGACUACCACACACUGACCAACUACAAGGCCUUCAGCCAGUUCCUCCGUGGGUGGGCGGGCCAGGGAGGGGGACAGCGAGAGCGAGAGCCCCACCUCCCUGGGGAGGGGAGUAUUCAGG